GAUGAACGCUGGCGGCGUGCCUAAUACAUGCAAGUCGAGCGAACGGACGAGAAGCUUGCUUCUCUGAUGUUAGCGGCGGACGGGUGAGUAACACGUGGAUAACCUACCUAUAAGACUGGGAUAACUUCGGGAAACCGGAGCUAAUACCGGAUGAUAUUUUGAACCGCAUGGUUCAAAAGUGAAAGACGGUCUUGCUGUCACUUAUAGAUGGAUCCGCGCUGCAUUAGCUAGUUGGUAAGGUAACGGCUUACCAAGGCAACGAUGCAUAGCCGACCUGAGAGGGGGAGCGGCAACAUGGAAACGGACCCACGGGCGAGCCCCAGAGGGGGGCAGCGAGGAGGAAUUUUCCCGCAAGGGGCGAAACCCGAAGGGCGAAACGCGGGGGGAUGAAAAAGGUUUUUGGAAUGGAAAAACUCUUUUAUGGGGAAAAAAAAUUUGGGAAAGUAAUUGUAACAAUCUGGGGGGUACCAAAAAAAAAACCAAGGCCUACUUACGC
This 496-nucleotide ribosomal RNA is filed under the name uncultured bacterium. RNAcentral describes it as "partial 16S ribosomal RNA". It matches the Rfam family "Bacterial small subunit ribosomal RNA", at positions 28 to 506 of the family's 1533-position model. The record is from RNAcentral.